Molecule: long non-coding RNA, 2171 nt
Organism: Cyprinus carpio carpio
Lineage: Eukaryota; Metazoa; Chordata; Actinopteri; Cypriniformes; Cyprinidae
Source: Ensembl
UUUGUAGAUGCCCAAGCUGCCAACGAGUCAGGUAUGUUUUCCCAUAGACAUAUUUCCUCUGUCCCGAUAUGAGAGUAAUGGAGAGUUGCCCGCUCCAAUAUGGCGGCGACGUUGACGUGCGGUCGAGCGGCCAAUGAGGCGUCUAGCUAUUUAUAUGUCUAUGGUCGUGACUAGCUAGUUCGUUUCCAUAACGAUGCAUCGUACUAUGGUGGUUAAUCAGCGAGUUACGUCGUUGUACGGGAAACGCACCCAUGGGCAGCUGCCAGGUUCGCCCGUGACAAAAACCGCUACGAGUUUAUUUGUAUCUUUCUUUACUGCGCGCCUCUGAUCUGCACGCGCUUCUGCACGCAUAAUUUAAAAAUUAACGGUCAUUCGUUUUACUGACUGACUAGCAUUCCUUCGUUGAUCUCUUUAUUGAAGAAAUACGUAUAAUUAAUUUAUACGAGAGUAAAUAUUGUGAUUUCAGAGAGAUUUGACACGUGUAAUUGAAGAGAACACAUUAUCCGAUUUUUUUUUUCUGACGAGAGAAGCACGUCAUCGUUGAUUCAGUGGUCACCGUAGCCACCAGAUCCAGUCUGUAUCCAAGUCAGAGGGUCACCGCAGUCACCCGGAUCCAGUACGUAUCCAGCCCAGAUGGUGGAUCAACACCUAGAAAGGACCUCUACAGCCCUGAAAGACAGCAGAGACCAGGACAACUAGAGCCCCAGAGACAGAUCCCCUGUAAAGACCUUGUCUCAGACGACCACUGGGACAAGACCACAGGAAACAGACGAUUCUUCUGCACAAUCUGACUUUGCUGCAGCCUGGAAUUGAACUGCUGGUUUUGUCUGGUCAGAGGAAAACUGGCCCCCCGACUGAGCCUGGUUUCUCCCAAGGUUUUUUCUCCAUUCUGUCACCGAUGGAGUUUUGGUUCCUUGCCGCUGUCGCUUCUGGCUUGCUUAGUUGGGGACACUUCAUUUACAGCGAUAUCGUUGAUUGUAAAUUAUUGCACAGAUACUAUUUAAACUGAACUGAGCUGCAUGAUGACAUCACUGAAUUCAAUGAUGAACUGCCUUUAACUGUCAUUUUGCAUUAUUGACACACUGUUUUCCUAAUUAAUGUUGUGCAGCUGCUUUGACGCAAUCUUUUUUGUUUAAAGGGGCGGUCAUACUAGACUUUGAACGUGCAAAUUUUUUUCUGACACUGCUGCGAAUAUGGGCGGGAGCAGGUUAACGGUCUCCCCUCAGUUAUCACAACAUGGAUUAAUGUGCUUGUACUGUGCCUUUUGCGACGGCGUCGAAAGCAUUUUAUUGUGUUUUACUCUCUGUCUGUCUCUCUCUCUAUAAUACAUACACACUACGCAAUAAAAAAUUAUAAAAUAUGUCUUCAUUCAAAUGUACAUCUGUUCCUGUUUCCAUUGACACUGCGAACCAUGAAGCUUUUUUUUAUUUUUUUAUAAUCUUUUAAAGAUGUAUUAUAUAAAAUAGGAUGCUGCGCUACGGCUAAAAUUAGCGCUUCCUUAAUUUUUGAAUUUCUGUACAGAGAGGUCACGCAGUGACGUAUUGAUAUUGUACUGAUCCCCCGUCUUCACGUGAUGCGAAUUCGCAGGUCAGAGUUCACCAAACUUGAACUUUGGAACGCAGCAAAAUGCGAAACUUGCGUUUCCGGUCUGACGCAUUCGCAUGCGUAUGAAUGGAAGUCAAUGGAACGAAAAGUGCAGUGUGACCGCCCCUUAAAGCGCUAUAUAAAUAAAGGUGACUUGACUUGACGUUGAUAUUUGGUUAGAAUAGGUUGCAACGUCGGGUGACCAAAAUUACAUUUCAAGCCAAUGGUAUACUUCACUUGCUGCGUGCCGUUCCACACAGUUUUUAUACUCAAAGCAGUGGCGGCUCGUGGGUUUUAAAAUAGAGGAGGCACCAGUAGCGGCUCGAGGAGGCACACUAAUUGUAUUGGUCUGGGAUCCCUGCCGGUUAUUAUUAUUAUUUGCUUAACUGCUUUAAAAUGGCUUUUUGGUUGCUUUUAGUCAGAAAACGUAAAGAAAAUGACACACAUACAACAAGAUAAUAUAAUAUCACUUACCUGUUCUAUCACUUGAAGCAAACAUCCAUCCCUUCUUUAAAGUCUGUGUUAAAAGAGAGCUGCCUGUUGUGCCAUUUAAAUAAGCCGAUUGCUGUAUUCUAUAUCCAGCUUAG